AGCUCCAAUAGCGUAUAUUAAAGUUGUUGCAGUUAAAAGCUCGUAGUUGAACCUUGGGCCUGGCUGGCCGGUCUGCCUCACCGCAUGUACUGGUUCGGCCGGGUCUUUCCUCCUGGGGAUCCGCAUGCCCUUCACUGGGUGUGUUGGGGAACCAGGACUUUUACUUUGAAAAAAUUAGAGUGUUCAAAGCAGGCCUUUGCUCGAAUACAUUAGCAUGGAAUAAUAGAAUAGGACGUGCGGUCCUAUUUUGUUGGUUUCUAGGACCGCCGUAAUGAUUAAUAGGGAUAGUCGGGGGCAUCAGUAUUCAGUUGUCAGAGGUGAAAUUCUUGGAUUUACUGAAGACUAACUACUGCGAAAGCAUUUGCCAAGGAUGUUUUCAUUAAUCAGUGAACGAAAGUUAGGGGAUCGAAGACGAUCAGAUACCGUCGUAGUCUUAACCGUAAACUAUGCCGACCAAGGGGAUCGG
Molecule: ribosomal RNA, 466 nt
Filed under: Lasiodiplodia theobromae
Lineage: Eukaryota; Fungi; Ascomycota; Dothideomycetes; Botryosphaeriales; Botryosphaeriaceae
Description: SSU rRNA
Rfam family: Eukaryotic small subunit ribosomal RNA
Source: RNAcentral